CAAUGGCUAUGAAAUGCCUCACGGACUCGAGCGACUGCUCACACUUGGAUUUUUCCAAUGCCCUUUUUUUGGACAAUGUAUCUAUUGGCGACAUGACUUCUGGCUGCACAUAGUUCUUCCCUCGAUAAAAUAUAAUGGUGUCAUCUUCAAUAAACUGUAUGGGGAUCCCACCACUCAACCUGGCAAUUUCCUGAGCAUAUUCCUGUACUUGGCCAGGUUUGCUAUUCUUGCAAAUAACCUUUACGGUUUCAUGCUUCUUCCAAUGCAUAUGCAUAUUAAGAAUGACGCCUCCAAAUAUUCCUCUUCUGCCAACUGGCACGUAAUUGGAUUUUU
RNAcentral lists this unclassified non-coding RNA (333 nucleotides) under Hevea brasiliensis (rubber tree). Lineage: Eukaryota; Viridiplantae; Streptophyta; Magnoliopsida; Malpighiales; Euphorbiaceae. The record is from RNAcentral.